RNAcentral lists this ribosomal RNA (253 nucleotides) under uncultured bacterium. RNAcentral describes it as "partial 16S ribosomal RNA". It matches the Rfam family "Bacterial small subunit ribosomal RNA", at positions 524 to 776 of the family's 1533-position model. The record is from RNAcentral.
GACGUAGGGCGCAAGCGUUGUCCGGAUUUAUUGGGCGUAAAGGGCUCGUAGGCGGUUUGUCGCGUCUGCCGUGAAAGUCCGGGGCUCAACCCCGGAUCUGCGGUGGGUACGGGCAGACUAGAGUGAUGUAGGGGAGACUGGAAUUCCUGGUGUAGCGGUGAAAUGCGCAGAUAUCAGGAGGAACACCGAUGGCGAAGGCAGGUCUCUGGGCAUUAACUGACGCUGAGGAGCGAAAGCAUGGGGAGCGAACAGG